CCAAUAGCGUAUAUUAAAGUUGUUGCAGUUAAAAAGCUCGUAGUUGAAUUUCGGGGUUAGUAGGUUGGUUAUGCCUCUGGUAUGUACUGGUCUCACUGAUUCCUCCUUCCUUAUGAACCGUAAUGCCAUUAAUUUGGUGUUGCGGGGAAUUUGGACUGUUACUUUGAAAAAAUUAGAGUGUUUAAAGCAAGCUAACGCUUGAAUACAUUAGCAUGGAAUAAUGAAAUAGGACGUUCGAUCUUAUUUUGUUGGUUUCUAGGAUUGACGUAAUGAUUAAUAGGGAUAGUUGGGGGCAUUAGUAUUCAAUUGUCAGAGGUUAAAUUCUUGGAUUUAUUGAAGACUAACUACUGCGAAAGCAUUUGCCAAGGAUGUUUUCAUUAAUCAAGAACGAAAGUUAGGGGAUCGAAGACGAUCAGAUACCGUCGUAGUCUUAACCAUAAACUAUGCCGACUAGGGAUCGGAUGAUGUUAAUUUUUUAAUGACUCAUUCGGCGCCUUACG
This 500-nucleotide ribosomal RNA is filed under the name uncultured Glomeromycotina. RNAcentral's name for it is "partial small subunit ribosomal RNA". It matches the Rfam family "Eukaryotic small subunit ribosomal RNA", at positions 591 to 1092 of the family's 1831-position model. Lineage: Eukaryota; Fungi; Glomeromycota. The record is from RNAcentral.